AUGGGKAAAAAGGKGCUUUCUCCAAACCCWGUUYUUCCCGMGGGCCCCCCCWWARGGGGKGAURWAUWUUGUUYSMWWAAACCCUUAGAGUUUGAUCCUGGCUCAGAACGAACGCUGGCGGCGUGCUUAACACAUGCAAGUCGAACGUGAUCCAGAGCUUGCUCUGGUGAAAGUGGCGCACGGGUGAGUAACGCGUGGAUAACCUGCCCUGGUAUCUGGGAUAACAUCUCGAAAGGGGUGCUAAUACCGGAUAAGCCUACGGGAUCUUCGGAUUCUGCAGGAAAAGGAGGCCUCUAUUUAUAAGCUACCGUAUCAGGAUGAGUCCGCGUACCAUUAGCUAGUUGGUGGGGUAAUGGCCCACCAAGGCUACGAUGGUUAGCUGGUCUGGGAGGAUGAUCAGCCACACUGGAACUGAGACACGGUCCAGACUCCUACGGGAGGCAGCAGUGGGGAAUUUUGCGCAAUGGGGGAAACCCUGACGCAGCAACGCCGCGUGAGUGAUGAAGGCUUUCGGGUCGUAAAGCUCUGUCAGAGGGGAAGAAAUGAGUCUGGCUAAUAUCCAGAUUUCUUGACGGUACCCUCAAAGGAAGCACCGGCUAACUACGUGCCAGCAGCCGCGGUAAUAC
RNAcentral lists this ribosomal RNA (626 nucleotides) under uncultured Geobacteraceae bacterium. Its description in RNAcentral is "bacterial SSU rRNA". The stretch from base 80 to 626 matches the Rfam family "Bacterial small subunit ribosomal RNA", at positions 1 to 526 of the family's 1533-position model. Lineage: Bacteria; Pseudomonadati; Thermodesulfobacteriota; Desulfuromonadia; Geobacterales; Geobacteraceae. The record is from RNAcentral.